This 155-nucleotide unclassified non-coding RNA is filed under the name soil metagenome. RNAcentral describes it as "partial internal transcribed spacer 1". The record is from RNAcentral.
GGGGAGGCCCAAAAGGCUAUCGACCCCAACCAUUGUGAACGAAGCUUUGUAGUUGCUUCGGCGAGUGGUAAUACAAGCCCUUUACGGGGUACUCGCCGGAAAGCAAGUAAUCUCUAGUCAUUUAUUGUUAUGUCUGAGUAAACUUUAAUAAGUUA